GCCAUUCUAUGUUUCAUUCUAUGAUUUCUAUGAUUCUCUUGCUUACAGUCAGCUGGUGAGCUUGUCCUGAUGCCUUUGAGCAUAGGAAGUUAAAAGCUGUGUAUAAACAGGAAUGUUUGUGGAACAGGAAGAAAAUUUAGUAAAUGUUGAAGGCUUAUAGACUAAGAGCAGUGAAGCAAUGAAAAUAUUCAGUGCCUGUUCACUUAACAAUUACAAAGGACUGGUGCUGUGUGUGCCUGUCUUGUGAAGGAAACUCACCGCUAGGUGGGGGUGUGCAUCUACUUUAGUAGUACGAUUUCUCAGCCGUGUUUCGAAGGGGCAGGUAGAUAAAGAAGAGGAGGAAGGGAACUGCUUCCACUUUGUCAAUAGGGCAACUCUUGUCUCUGAAGCUGUCGGGAAGUAGCAUGUGGGGAGGAGACAGUGCUGCUUUAGAGAAGACAAUUUAAUGCAUGUAGACAAGUAUGGGUCUUCCUGUAACUGGAGACAGGCAUGCAGAGCCUAGGGAGAGAGGUACUACUAGUUAAAAUAAAGAUGUUUCUAGGAUUUCCACCUGGUUGCCUCAUCAUGCUCUAGCUUUGUCUGUGUGGGGAUGUGCAUUGUCUGUGACAUCCUGAGCAGUCUGAAACCCAGAGAUUUAACGGCAGGGGGUGAAGUCUCUGGCAUUGCUGUAAUUGACACAAGGUUGCAAAGAACUGGGCAGGCUACCUGAGCCACUGAGGUUGUACACUUACAGUCGUGCUGCCUUGCAGACUGGUUACUGCUCUGCAGAACCUCCAACUUUUCACUGGAUCUUCUCACCUGAAGAGAUGAGUAUGGCGGCAAAUCGGCACACCUCCUGCCCCGGGUCCUCCCCGAGGCCUGCAGUGCAGCUAGUUUCCUGCUUAUCCUUACAGCACUACAGAAGCUGAGCUCAAACGGACCUGUCCCACUGAGUUUUUGACCAUCUCUCUGGAUUGAUGGCAAUCCCUGGAACACGGAGAAUUUACUGCAGUGAAUAGAAGGUCUGUCCAAGUCUGUCUGCAGCUGGACUACAAUUGCUUUAUUUUUUUCCUAGCUUUUUGUUCUGAAGAAGGAGCCAAGUCAACCUCGUUGGACUCUUCCCUGGCUGAGCUAAGGUACCAUUUUUAGGACUGCCUUCAGAGCACGCUCUGUAGUGCUUUGGUACUUGGCAGCUGUGUUCAUUCUCAUCUGCUGCUUCAUAGUGUCUGCAUCUCAGAGGCUUGUCCCUUAGGCCACUGGCUGUAAUUAUAAAAGCUUCUGAUCUAGAAAUGAGUGGCACAGUGAUUCAGGUACUGUUAUCAAUAAGUUUUGCAGUGCUGUCAGUACUGGAAGACAAUAUUGUACUGGAGUUCCAUUUUUUUCCUUUAUUUAUUCUUUUUUGAGAGAAAUUUAAAAGUUUUCAUGGUGUUAUUGUAAAGGUGUUUUUUUUUUUUUUUGCCAUUUUGGAACUUGAGUGUGUUGGAGGUCUGGAAACCAGAAGGUAUAGAGAAAGAACAUCUGUUAACGUACAAGUCAGGAUUUGAAGUGAAAUGAGACCUUCUAUCUUCUCUUGAGUUCUUUCUGGAUGACAGCACCAUUCAUUGAAGAAGCUUCAAGUAGACUAAGGAGUUUGGAUAGGAAACUCUCAUGAGAAAACUAAAAAACUGUGGUACCAAUGUGGACAGAGGAUUCAUAUUGCUAAGAAGUUUUCAUGCCUUGCUUUUUUUAACCUGAGUUACCAGAAAUCAUAUCCUACAUGGUCUCUCACUGAUUGCAUGGACAUGAACACCACCUAAGGGUGAGAUUUUUCUUGAUGCUAAUCUAUGAGUCUGCUUUAGUUCUCCAACAUCCAUUUGUGAUCGUCAUCUUGGUGCUCUCAAGUCUCCUUGUUAUGCCUUCACCAGUACUGUGAACCACAAACACAAUGCCUAACAAAAGCUCCAUGGCUGUGGAGGGGCAGCUGGCUGGCAUGUUUUUUCUUCUCUAUGCAGAGCAAGAGUAUUGCUGCUCAGAGAGGAAGCGUACUCCAUCAAAACAUGGCUCUCCUUCCACUGCAGAACAUGGAACUUGCUCUACAAGGAGUUGGAGUGGAGCUCUUCUCACGCCUUUCACAGAUUUUAUGCUAAACAAUUCUGUUGGGUCCAUGGAAAAGCCAAAGGCACUGAUCUUUUGGUUGAUGAUUGCACAGAAGUCUGUGGAGAAGUAGUAUCGUGCUGUUGUGCAAGGUGGGUUCCAUCCUGAGAGCUGCCUUCUGCAAAUCUGGGAUAGUGUUGUUGCAGCAGAUGACUUUUCUUGUUGGUUCCUGGGAACAAGCCUGCCCUGUUACGUGUGACCUUGCCACCUCCCUUGGAGCCUUUCAGGCUGCUUUCCCUCCCAGCUUCUGUUUUUCUGGUAGGCAUUAAAUCAGAGUGGCAGCUGGCCAGCAAUGCCCUUUAAGAACAGUACUUAGUGUAACGUUGUCUUUUUGGCCAACGUUUUUUUAAAUGUACUACACUGCUUUUCUUUAAUAGCCAUAACUGUUGGGAGAAAAAUGCAGAAAUGAAGCAGACUAGGAAGUAUAAACCUAAAUCUGUAGCCUGUGUGAAGUUAUGCAAUGGCGUGAUUUUCAGCAACAAACCUUGUGUGAAGGGCUGAAAUUUCUUUCUUUCUUUCUUUUUUUUUUUUUUAGUAGUAAGAAAGUCGACUGACAAAACCAAAAUGAAGAGAAGAAAAUCAUACUCCCAUAUGAACUGCCAAGAGAGCGCAUAAUAGCUGCACUUAUUUUAUUAGCCUUCUGACCUUUCCUUUCUCUGAUGAGGUUUCUUUUUCCUAUUAGCUCUACUAGGAUGUCUACUGAGAUGGCAACAAAACAAACACUGUUUUUGUUGGCUAAUUUAUCUUUUCUGUGCGCAGGGAUCGCAGACAUGGAGGCCACGAGGCGAUGCCUGCCUUGCAGCAUUCACAAGAACCACCCUGUGCCAUUGGGUACUGGGAAGAACACUGCCGUGUUGAGGGCAACGCAUCCAUGCUCACGCAGCAAUUCAAGUCAUGCUUGACUUGGAGCCUGCAAGCAGUUUCCUUGCCUCCAAUGGAAGAGUGUCAUUUUGUUUGACACCAUUCAUGUAUUUUUGUACAGAUACGGUAUUUCUUCUUCACUUCUUUAGCAGCUGCUCUACAACAUUGCUUUCUCUGGAAAUUAUUAGUGCCAGACUG
This is a long non-coding RNA of Gallus gallus (chicken), 3171 nucleotides long. Lineage: Eukaryota; Metazoa; Chordata; Aves; Galliformes; Phasianidae. The record is from Ensembl.